This is a long non-coding RNA of Portunus trituberculatus (swimming crab), 235 nucleotides long. RefSeq lists it as uncharacterized. The transcript is spliced from 2 exons. NCBI's taxonomy places the organism in Eukaryota, Metazoa, Arthropoda, Malacostraca, Decapoda, Portunidae. The record is from RefSeq and is a predicted model, not a curated record.
GAGGUGUGCGAGGAGGAGCGGAGGGAGUCGGUCAGAAUACCUCGGCUAGGUGAGCUGUGGAGGUGAGGACACAGAUGACAUCAAACGGUCUUAGGGGGCAGCCGUGGUACAGUGGAACCAUGCGUGCUUUGGGGUCCGAGGGGUCUCCAAGCGCACGGGUUUGAAUCCUGCCCACGGUCCGAGUGAAGGUUGGACUUCCUCGCUUGGGGCAACGGUUUCCUAGCGGGUGGGCUUU